This 639-nucleotide long non-coding RNA is filed under the name Ananas comosus (pineapple). RNAcentral describes it as "long non-coding RNA (ACOM_LNC030949)". Lineage: Eukaryota; Viridiplantae; Streptophyta; Magnoliopsida; Poales; Bromeliaceae. The record is from RNAcentral.
AUAUAUUUGAGCUGGAAUACUAUCCUUAGCAAACGGGCUCCGUUGCCACCCAUUUGUUUUCGAUGAUGGAACCUCCAAAUCAACGAUCGGCACCGUUGAACAUGAUCUAUACCACUUGAAGUAUCUAGAAAUCAAAUUUCAUACUUUUUCGAUAUUGUUUUCUUAUCCAUCGAGUGGACACAAAAAUGAACGGCUGAAAAUAAAUAUUCUUUAAAAAAUGAUGAUAGGAGUCUUGUAGUCAAGAUCAAGAGUAUAGAUCUUGUUUUAAAUAGUUUAAAGAAUUUUCUAACAAAAAUUCAAUUGAUUUGGAUAUCUUUACGCCGUUAAACGAGAAAACGCCUCAUAUCGACCAUUAAAAUUACAAAUUUUGAAACCCUUUGAUCAUUAGGCAAAUGAUGUCGAAAAGAUUUGAAAUUUGAUUUCUAAACACUUCAAGUGGUAUAGAUCAUGUUCAACGGUGCCGAUCGUCGAUUUGGAGGCUCUAUCAUCGAAAACAAAUGGGUGGCAACGGAGCCCGUUUGCUAUCGAUAGUAUUCUAGCCCAACUCAUGGGUGGCAACGGAGCCCGUUUGCUAUCGAUAGUAUUCUAGCCAAACUCUAUAUAUAUAAUGAUCUUGUGUGUGUGUGUGUGUGUGUAUAU